CUAGAGCCUGAAACAAGAGAACCGACAUUCUUGAGUACGUGAAACAAGAUACCUCCGAAUAUGUCACCAUUUGUUUUUCCACCCUAAAUGCAAAUGCAAGAUAUCUACUUACUUCCAAACGUGUUGCUUCAGGAUUACAAAGUUUCUUGUCAACCAUCCUGUUGAAGGUUUUAUGGUAUUUAUUGUACGAAUAUAAACGGAAACUUUGUAAUCCUAAGAUAGGAAGGGAUGACCCUUUGGAUCUUCCAAACGGAAGAAGUUGAUGUUAUGAGAGUGAACAUUUCGCCAGACUUCGUAAGCGUUAAAUGCAACGAAAAGUUUGAGGUAAUCCCCGAGCUUCGUAAGUCAACGGGAUUAAUUGUAAGAGACUAAGAUAGCUAUUCCUAUAUUUUAGGUUAUGUUAGAUAUAUGUUAUUUUUAAAUGAACCAAACUUUUACGAUGAUCAAAUAAAAUAACAUUCUACUACUAAUUGAAUUGGAUCUGUUGAGUUUUGGGAAGGAGAGAGGGAGAGAGAGAGAGAGAGAGAGAGAGAGAGAGAGAGAGAGAAAGAGAAAAAAAAGAGAAAAAGAGGGUGAGAAAUGAAGAGAAAAUAGAAACGAAAGUAUUUCCACGAUUCGCCGUGGCAAUAGAGUCAGAGAUCCCUUUUUGAGGUUUCCACAAAUGUUAGUAUAGUAUUGAGAUACGUCGUUCUAAAGUUACUACCAAGCCGCAGUCUGUUAAAUCUGUGCGCUAUUAAAGUUACGCCCAUCACUAUGCCGCUAAGCCCUGAACAUCUCUAUCGAGGAUUCAAAUGGCUUAAACUUAGCACAGGUUAAUAUACCAUCGACGAUGAAACAUUUGCAACGAAAACUUGCAAACCAUCGAGGAACUUGCGACGUAACCAGGCCGACCAUGUUACUACGAGGUAAUAUUAACGACAUAACAACGGUUACAGGCAUCGUUACAAAGUGAUGAUUUUACCGUACGCUCAGAGAAAUUUCCCCUUUCGCUUUAAAAGCGAAUGCAGAGCGUAAUUAUCGGAUUAAUUUUUUUUUAAUGCGAAAAAGAUAGAGAAUGAGAGGGAGGAAGGGAGAGAGAGAGAAAGAGAGAGAGAGAAAGAGCUUCGUUCAUCGACAUUAUUCCUCUGGAAAUUAUUACGUUGGCAUGGAAUUUCAUUAAUUUACUAAUUUCUAUCUAAAACGCUACCCUUUGUUUUCUUUCUCAUCUUAUUAAUAAAUGGUUUUAUAAUAGACUCAUCUCUCUAUAGUCGAUUUUUAUCUCGACUUUGCAAAUACAUACGCCAUUGGCAUGUUUCGAAAUGUUACGAAGUUUUAAGAGGAUUACUUUCAUCUUCAUUUAGACGGUGAGAGCUACAAGACCACGUUUCACAUAAAAUACAAGUUCUAUUGGGAUAAAGAA
Molecule: RNA transcript, 1399 nt
Organism: Vespa crabro (European hornet)
Lineage: Eukaryota; Metazoa; Arthropoda; Insecta; Hymenoptera; Vespidae
Exons: 3
Source: RefSeq, a predicted model, not a curated record